AGGUAAAGCUUCGGCGCUUUAGGAGGGGCCUGCGGCCCAUCAGCUAGUUGGUAGGGUAACGGCCUACCAAGGCAAAGACGGGUAGGGGGUGUGAGAGCAUGACCCCCCACAAUGGGACUGAGACACGGCCCAUACUCCUACGGGAGGCAGCAGCAGGGAAUAUUGCACAAUGGACGGAAGUCUGAUGCAGCGACGCCGCGUGGAUGAUGAAGGCCCUCGGGUCGUAAAAUCCUUUUCAGGGGGAAGAGGAAGGACGGUACCCCUGGAAUAAGCGUCGGCUAACUACGUGCCAGCAGCCGCGGUAAGACGUAGGACGCAAGCGUUAUCCGGAUUUACUGGGCGUAAAGCGUCUGUAGGCGGUUGGGUAAGUUGGGCGUGAAAGCUCCGUGCUCAACGCGGAGAGGUCGUUCAAUACUGCCGAACUAGAGGACAUCAGAGGAGCAUGGAAUUUCCGGUGUAGCGGUAAAAUGCGCAGAUAUCGGAAGGAACACCAGUGGCCGAAGGCGGUGCUCUGGGGUGUGCCUGACGCUGAGAGACGAAAGCUAGGGGAGCGAACAGGAUUAGAGACCCUGGUAGUCCUAGCCCUAAACGAUGGAUGCUAGAUGUGGGGCCGAGAAGGCUCCGUGUCGCAGUUAACGCGCUAAGCAUCCCGCCUGGGGAUUACGGCCGCAAGGCUAAAACUCAAACGAAUUGACGGGGCCCCGCACAAGCAGCGGAGCGUGUGGUUUAAUUCGAUGCUACACGAAGAACCUUACCUGGGUUUGACAUGUAAGUGGUAGUGAAGCGAAAGCGGAGCGACCCUUCGGGGAGCUUACACAGGUGCUGCAUGGCUGUCGUCAGCUCGUGCCGUGAGGUGUCGGGUUAAGUCCCGUAACGAGCGCAACCCUUGCCCUUAGUUACAAGUGUCUAAGGGGACUCCCGCCGCUAAGCCGGAGAAAGAUGGGGAUGACGUCAAGUCAGCAUGGCCCUUAUAUCCAGGGCGACACACACGCUACAAUGGUCAGUACAAAGGGCAGCGAAGCCGCGAGGUGAAGC
This 1035-nucleotide ribosomal RNA is filed under the name uncultured organism. RNAcentral's name for it is "bacterial SSU rRNA". It matches the Rfam family "Bacterial small subunit ribosomal RNA", at positions 199 to 1268 of the family's 1533-position model. The record is from RNAcentral.